This 506-nucleotide ribosomal RNA is filed under the name uncultured bacterium. RNAcentral's name for it is "partial 16S ribosomal RNA". It matches the Rfam family "Bacterial small subunit ribosomal RNA", at positions 30 to 523 of the family's 1533-position model. The record is from RNAcentral.
AUUGAACGCUGGCGGCAGGCCUAACACAUGCAAGUCGAACGGUAACAGGAAACAGCUUGCUGUUUCGCUGACGAGUGGCGGACGGGUGAGUAAUGUCUGGGAAACUGCCUGAUGGAGGGGGAUAACUACUGGAAACGGUAGCUAAUACCGCAUAACGUCGCAAGACCAAAGAGGGGGACAUUCGGGCCUCUUGCCAUCGGAUGUGCACAGAUGGGAUUAGCUUGUUGGUGGGGUAACGGCUCACCAAGGCGACGAUCCCUAGCUGGUCUGAGAGGAUGACCAGCCACACUGGAACUGAGACACGGUCCAGACUCCUACGGGAGGCAGCAGUGGGGAAUAUUGCACAAUGGGCGCAAGCCUGAUGCAGCCAUGCCGCGUGUAUGAAGAAGGCCUUCGGGUUGUAAAGUACUUUCAGCGGGGAGGAAGGGAGUAAAGUUAAUACCUUUACUCAUUGACGUUACCCGCAGAAGAAGCACCGGCUAACUCCGUGCCAGCAGCCGCGGUAA